UACAGAGGUCCCAAGCGUUGUUCGGAUUCACUGGGCGUAAAGGGCGCGUAGGUGGUGAGGUAAGUCGGAUGUGAAAUCUCCGAGCUCAACUCGGAAAUGGCAUUGGAAACUACCUUGCUCGAGGGUUGGAGGGGGGACUGGAAUGCUUGGUGUAGCAGUGAAAUGCGUAGAUAUCAAGCGGAACACCAGUGGCGAAGGCGAGUCCCUGGACAACUCCUGACACUGAGGCACGAAAGCUAGGGGAGCAAACAGG
RNAcentral lists this ribosomal RNA (253 nucleotides) under uncultured bacterium. Its description in RNAcentral is "partial 16S ribosomal RNA". It matches the Rfam family "Bacterial small subunit ribosomal RNA", at positions 524 to 776 of the family's 1533-position model. The record is from RNAcentral.